AUUGAACGCUGGCGGCAGGCCUAACACAUGCAAGUCGAGCGGUAACACAGGGAGCUUGCUCCCGGGUGACGAGCGGCGGACGGGUGAGUAAUGUCUGGGAAACUGCCUGAUGGAGGGGGAUAACUACUGGAAACGGUAGCUAAUACCGCAUAAUGUCGCAAGACCAAAGAGGGGGACCUUCGGGCCUCUUGCCAUCAGAUGUGCCCAGAUGGGAUUAGCUAGUAGGUGGGGUAACGGCUCACCUAGGCGACGAUCCCUAGCUGGUCUGAGAGGAUGACCAGACACACUGGAACUGAGACACGGUCCAGACUCCUACGGGAGGCAGCAGUGGGGAAUAUUGCACAAUGGGCGCAAGCCUGAUGCAGCCAUGCCGCGUGUAUGAAGAAGGCCUUCGGGUUGUAAAGUACUUUCAGCGGGGAGGAAGGUGCUGAGGUUAAUAACCUCAGCAAUUGACGUUACCCGCAGAAGAAGCACCGGCUAACUCCGUGCCAGCAGCCGCCGCGG
This 504-nucleotide ribosomal RNA is filed under the name uncultured bacterium. RNAcentral's name for it is "partial 16S ribosomal RNA". It matches the Rfam family "Bacterial small subunit ribosomal RNA", at positions 29 to 523 of the family's 1533-position model. The record is from RNAcentral.